UUGAACGCUGGCGGCAUGCCUUACACAUGCAAGUCGAACGGUAGAGGAGCAAUCCUCGAGAGUGGCGAACGGGUGAGUAAUGUAUCGGAACGUGCCCAGUAGUGGGGGAUAGCCCGGCGAAAGCCGGAUUAAUACCGCAUGAUACCUGAGGGUGAAAGCGGGGGACUCGCAAGAGCCUCGCGCUACUGGAGCGGCCGAUAUCAGAUUAGGUAGUUGGUGGGGUAAAAGCCUACCAAGCCUGCGAUCUGUAGCUGGUCUGAGAGGACGACCAGCCACACUGGGACUGAGACACGGCCCAGACUCCUACGGGAGGCAGCAGUGGGGAAUUUUGGACAAUGGGCGCAAGCCUGAUCCAGCCAUGCCGCGUGUGGGAAGAAGGCCUUCGGGUUGUAAACCACUUUUGUCAGGGAAGAAACGGUUCCUACUAAUAUUGGGAGCUAAUGACGGUACCUGAAGAAUAAGCACCGGCUAACUACGU
RNAcentral lists this ribosomal RNA (478 nucleotides) under uncultured bacterium. Its description in RNAcentral is "bacterial SSU rRNA". It matches the Rfam family "Bacterial small subunit ribosomal RNA", at positions 30 to 506 of the family's 1533-position model. The record is from RNAcentral.